AGCUUGCUCUUAUGAAGUUAGCGGCGGACGGGUGAGUAACACGUGGGUAACCUGCCCAUAAGACUGGGAUAACUCCGGGAAACCGGGGCUAAUACCGGAUAACAUUUUGAACUGCAUGGUUCGAAAUUGAAAGGCGGCUUCGGCUGUCACUUAUGGAUGGACCCGCGUCGCAUUAGCUAGUUGGUGAGGUAACGGCUCACCAAGGCAACGAUGCGUAGCCGACCUGAGAGGGUGAUCGGCCACACUGGGACUGAGACACGGCCCAGACUCCUACGGGAGGCAGCAGUAGGGAAUCUUCCGCAAUGGACGAAAGUCUGACGGAGCAACGCCGCGUGAGUGAUGAAGGCUUUCGGGUCGUAAAACUCUGUUGUUAGGGAAGAACAAGUGCUAGUUGAAUAAGCUGGCACCUUGACGGUACCUAACCAGAAAGCCACGGCUAACUACGUGCCAGCAGCCGCGGUAAUACGUAGGUGGCAAGCGUUAUCCGGAAUUAUUGGGCGUAAAGCGCGCGCAGGUGGUUUCUUAAGUCUGAUGUGAAAGCCCACGGCUCAACCGUGGAGGGUCAUUGGAAACUGGGAGACUUGAGUGCAGAAGAGGAAAGUGGAAUUCCAUGUGUAGCGGUGAAAUGCGUAGAGAUAUGGAGGAACACCAGUGGCGAAUGCGACUUUCUGGUCUGUAACUGACACUGAGGCGCGAAAGCGUGAGGAGCAAACAGGAUUAGAUACCCUGGUAGUCCACGCCGUAAACGAUGAGUGCUAAGUGUUAGAGGGUUUCCGCCCUUUAGUGCUGAAGUUAACGCAUUAAGCACUCCGCCUGGGGAGUACGGCCGCAAGGCUGAUACUCAAAGGAAUUGACGGGGGCCCGCACAAGCGGGGGGAGCAUGGGGUUUAAUUCCGAAGCACGCGAAAGAACCUUAACCAGGUCUUGACAUCCCUCCUGAAACCCUAGAGAUAGGGAUUCUCCCUUCCGGGAGCAAGAGUGACAGGGGGUGGAAUGGGUUGGUCGUCAGCUCCGUGUCGUGAGAUGAUGGUGUAAGUACUCGUCCACGAAGCGCGACCCUUUGAAUCUUACUGGCAUCACUAAAGUUAGGCACCUCCUAAGGCUGGACUGACGGCGUGACCAACUC
This 1126-nucleotide ribosomal RNA is filed under the name Bacillus sp. (in: firmicutes). RNAcentral's name for it is "bacterial SSU rRNA". It matches the Rfam family "Bacterial small subunit ribosomal RNA", at positions 77 to 1164 of the family's 1533-position model. The record is from RNAcentral. Lineage: Bacteria; Bacillati; Bacillota; Bacilli; Caryophanales; Bacillaceae.